Long non-coding RNA from Pseudophryne corroboree (corroboree frog), 180 nucleotides. RefSeq lists it as uncharacterized. Lineage: Eukaryota; Metazoa; Chordata; Amphibia; Anura; Myobatrachidae. The record is from RefSeq and is a predicted model, not a curated record. The transcript has 3 exons.
AGAGGCCUGGCACCGCAUAGCACACUGGUAGAAGGUACUCCUAUUAGAUUCUACAUGGACAAGUGGACGUGAUUGGCGUGGGAUGUAGAUGAAGAAGAAGAAGAAGAAGAAGAAGAAGAAGAAGAAGAAGAAGAAGAAGAAGAAGAAGAAGAAGAAGAAGAAGAAGAAGAAGAAGAAGAA